UAGGGAAUCUUCGGCAAUGGGGGGAACCCUGACCGAGCAACGCCGCGUGAGUGAAGAAGGUUUUCGGAUCGUAAAGCUCUGUUGUUAAGGAAGAACGAGUGUGAGAAUGGAAAGUUCAUACUGUGACGGUACUUAACCAGAAAGGGACGGCUAACUACGUGCCAGCAGCCGCGGUAAUACGUAGGUCCCGAGCGUUGUCCGGAUUUAUUGGGCGUAAAGCGAGCGCAGGCGGUCAAUUAAGUCUGAUGUGAAAGCCCCCGGCUCAACCGGGGAGGGUCAUUGGAAACUGGUUGACUUGAGUGCAGAAGAGGAGAGUGGAAUUCCAUGUGUAGCGGUGAAAUGCGUAGAUAUAUGGAGGAACACCAGUGGCGAAGGCGACUCUCUGGUCUGUAACUGACGCGGGGGCUCGAAAGCGUGGGUAGCAAACAGG
Molecule: ribosomal RNA, 430 nt
Filed under: Bacteroidota bacterium
Lineage: Bacteria; Pseudomonadati; Bacteroidota
Description: Bacteroidetes bacterium partial 16S ribosomal RNA
Rfam family: Bacterial small subunit ribosomal RNA
Source: RNAcentral